Molecule: non-coding RNA, 3751 nt
Organism: Phoenix dactylifera (date palm)
Lineage: Eukaryota; Viridiplantae; Streptophyta; Magnoliopsida; Arecales; Arecaceae
Source: RefSeq, a predicted model, not a curated record
GGGAAGAAGAGGAUAACUUGCAGCGGCGGGGGCUCUUAGGACGUGCUCGGGUGGCCGGAGGAGGCAAUCGGGGCCGUCCAUCAUAUGCAACUGCGCUCCUAUCGUGCGCCACCGUGUUGCGGGCCGUCCGAUGGAUGAUGCGCCGGUGUCUGCCGGCACCACGGCCAGCUUGUAUAUGAGGCUCGGACUGGCCCUUUUCUCCUCGGCCUCCUUUCUGUUUAUGUUCUACAGCCAGGCCGCCUUCUGAUUUCGGUUGCUAGAAAUCAUCGUGCAAGAAUGGAGAUGUCGAUUAUAGCUAAGGUCUUCGUCUCUAAGCUCCUUAAUGGCCUGGCCGCUUUGGUGGAGGACGAGGUGGCCAUGCUCUGGGGUGUGAAGGGCGAGAUCAAACGACUCCAAAAAGGCCUCGGAACAAUAAACGCUGUCCUCGCCGAUGCUGAAAGUAAAAAGAUUGAGAGCAAAGCCAUAGACGACUGGCUCAGGAACCUGAAGGACGUCAUGUACGACGCUGACGACAUCCUCGAUCAGAUCGAGGCCGAGAAAUCUAAAGCUGCAGUCUCCUCGGGACGUCAACCUUGCUCUUGCCUCUUCUCUUGCUCUUGCUUUGGCAAGACGGUGUUUGCUCAUCAGAUUGGCAGGAGAAUCAAAAGCCUUAAUCAUAGGCUGGACGACAUCUUGACAGCUAGUAGUAAAUUUAAUCUCCAGCUCGUUUCCGCCGACCGCGGUGACCACCGAUCCACUUCUCGAGUGGGCAGGAAGACAUCUCCCGUAGCUGAGCCUGAUAUUGUAGGGUCCAAUAUCCAGAAGGAUACCGACAAGCUGGUGAAGUUGUUGAUCAAGGAGGAUAGUCGGGAAAACAUUCUUGUAUAUGCCAUCGUAGGAACUGGGGGAAUUGGCAAGACCACUCUUGCUCGAAAGAUUUUUAAUGAUGAAAGGAUAACAACCAAGUUCCCGAUGAAGCUUUGGGUCUGCGUGUCCAAAGAUUUUGAUGAGAUCAGUCUACUGAAAGAGAUCAUCACUCAUGCGGAGGGCGAUUCAGGAGGCGCUUCUAGCAGGGCACAGCUCGAGCCCAAGGUGGCAAAUACUGUGACAAAUAAGAAAUUUUUGCUUGUCUUGGAUGACAUGUGGGACCCAAACGUAUGGAAUGAUUUACUCCGAAACCCCCUGCAGAGUGGGGCAACUGGAAGUAGGGUCCUUGUGACCACAAGAAACCAAAGGGUUGCAUUGCAAAUGAAGGCUGUAGAAUCUCAUCAAGUGGCGGUCUUGUCUGCUGAAGAUGGUUGGGCACUGCUGCUCAAGAAGGUGGUUUUGAGUGGGCAGGAGGGAGACAUCGAACAUUUAAUGGAUAUCGGAAAGAAGAUUGUUGAGAAAUGUGGUGGUCUCCCUCUUGCUAUUAAGACCAUUGGAGGAGUAUUAUCCACGAAGAGCAGGACAAAGAUGGAGUGGGAGAGAGUGCUUAAAACCCUUUCAAGCAAUGCUUGGUCUUCUUCGACCCACUUUCCCGAAGAGGUUCAACCAGCGCUAUGGUUGAGUUAUGAAGACCUGCCAUCUCAUCUUAAGCAGUGUUUUUUAUAUUGCUCGUUGUUCCCUGAGGAUUAUGAAUUCGAUCGUGACAAACUAAUUUAUUAUUGGAUCUCUGAAGGGUUCAUCCAUGAAGAAGGAGAGGUGACAUUGGAAGAGUUAGGUGAAGAUUGUUAUUGGGAACUUAUUCAGAGGAGUUUUUUGCAACCACAUCCCUGUACUGAAUACAAGUUUCCUAAAUGCACCGUGCAUGAUCUACUAUGGUCCCUUGCUCGGUUUUUAGCAGGAGAUGAGAAUUUGGCUGUGAAAGAUGGGGUUGAUGUCCCAAUUAAUUCAUCUUCAGUGAAGACACGUCGCUUGCGGGGUCGUGUUACAGAAGAAAACCGCCAAGCAUUUAUUGGUGCAUUGGAAGGGCACAAAUCCUUGAGGACUCUGCUGCCACGCUUGGCCUCAUCACACGUGAUGCAAGAGAAUGAUGCCAAUAAUCUGAUUAAGAAGACACCGCGUCUAAGAGUACUAGACUUUUCAUACUCUUCGAUCAAAAAAUUGCCAGACUCCUUGGGAACUCUCAUACAUCUACGUUAUUUAGAUCUGUCAUUUUCUGGCAUAUGUGAGCUACCAGAGAGCAUAGGAAACCUUGUAAAUCUGCAGUUCUUGAUCCUCCAGUCUUGCGAAUCUCUCCGCAGCCUUCCUAAAGGCAUCGGAAAGUUGCACAACCUGCGGUGUCUUGACCUUUUUGGAGCAGUACUGGAGGGUAUACCUAUUGAAAUUGCAAACUUGCAUCGACUUAACACACUGACGGGUUUUGUGGUCAGGAACAACAGGAGCGAUAGUGGUUGGUGUACGUUGGAACACUUGAGAUCUCUAGGAAAGCUUAAAGAGCUCAGUAUCCAGAAGCUGGAAAGGGCAUUGAAUGAGGUUGAGGUUGGACGAGUAAAUGCACUGAGGGACAUGUUGCAGCUUAAAGUGCUAAAUUUGUGGCGCGAACCUCCUACAGUUGAUGAUGAUGAUGGACAAGCAUUUGGCUACAGCGAAGAAGUGAUCAAAAAAAUUGAGAACAUCUUUGAGGUGACGCUCUGCCCACCACCGCACCUAGAAUCUCUUUCCAUCCGAGGUUUCUUUGGACUCCAUUUCCCGAGUUGGAUAGCAUCUAGCAGUACUGACUUGCUCCUCUCCGAUCUAAGACGGUUGGAGCUCAUAGGGUGUGACAUUUGCCUGCAACUUCCAUCACUAGGGAAGCUCCCAAACUUGGAUUCCCUCUGGAUACAUGGAGCAUCUGCUGUCAAAAAGAUUGGGACUGAAUUUCUGGGUCAGGAAUCUGAUUGUAGCAGGGAUCAAGGUGGCAGGAUGCAAAUUUUUCCAAAGUUGACAACAUUGGUAUUUGAACACUUGGACGAUUUGGAAGAAUGGGAAUGGGAGGUGAAGGAUGAUGACAGACUGAUAGCCAUACCAAAGUUAGAAGAAUUGACACUUUAUGCUUGUCCAAAGUUGAGGUCCCUUCCUUCUGGCCUUGUUCACCAUGCUACUGCCCUAACAAUGCUGAAGAUAACAAUGUGCGAUAGUCUAAAGGCAAUCAGGAGCUUUUCCUCCAUCAAACAUUUGGAAAUAUCUUACAAUCCUAAUAUAGAUGUUGUUUCAGAACUUCCUAGCUUGCAAACAUUAAGCCUGAUAAAUCCUCAAAUGCGGGCCCUACCAGAGGGGUUACAUGGAGGACAACCCGACUUCCUUGCACUCAACAAGCUUGAGAUCCUGGGCACUGACCAACUACUCCGCAGAUGCCUCAAGGAUGGCUUAGAUUGGCCCAAGAUUGAACUUAUCCCCUAUGUAAAUGCCAAAGAUUUUUAUGGAUCCGGAUACAUCUCCAAGAGUCCCUCUGCGUUCAGCACCAACUUAACUGAUUAUGUUGAAGAUCAUGAGUAGAGCACACAUGGUUCUUCCUUCGCAAUGAGGAAACUGUCAGCAUGGAGUAGGUGAAUUCUUGGAAAAUUAUAUAUGUUCAUGAUGGAUUUUAUGCAACCAAUUUGAGGACCUUGGAGGAAGAUAUUAGUGCUCUAACUUUAUGAUAGGUCUUCAUGUAUCAGCAGGAACUACCUUUCAUCUGUUGGCAUGUACUUAAUGGCUGUUUCACCCAAAUACUACUUUUAUAAGACCAAGUAAAUUGGAAUUCUGUAUGUUGGUUAUGAACUCAUGCAAUGAUACUAUGAAUAUGAUGGUAUUUCUUUUUAUAUUCUAA